RNAcentral lists this long non-coding RNA (607 nucleotides) under Homo sapiens (human). RNAcentral describes it as "HSALNT0172620". Lineage: Eukaryota; Metazoa; Chordata; Mammalia; Primates; Hominidae. The record is from RNAcentral.
AAUUAGACAGGCAUGGUGACAUGCGCCUGUAGUCCCAGCUACUCAGGAAACUGAGGUGGGAGUAUCGCUUGAGCCCAGGAGGUGGAGGUUGCAGUAAGCCAAGAUUGUGCCACUGCACUCUGGCCUGGGUGACAGAGUGAGACUUUGUCUCAAAAAAAAAAAAAUUACUAAAAACAAAUAAUAAUUACUCACCCAAUGAUUCCAGUUCAGAGUUGUGGGUGGCCAGAGCCUAUCCCAGUGGCUCAGAGCACUAAGUGGGCAUCAACCCUGGAGAGGAUGGUAUCUGGCUGUAGGGCAUGCUCACACCCACACCCUCACUCACUGUGGCACCAUCUAGACACCCCAAUUUACUGGAAGUGCUCAUUUUUGCGAUGUGGGAGGAAACCAGAGUACCUGAUGAAAACCCAUGCAGAACAUGCAAACUCCACACAGACAGUGGCUCAGGUUGGGAACUGAAUUUUUUUUCAUCAAUGUGAUAACAAAAUGACAUCAAAUAAAAUGAUGUUAUUCUAGCACCUAAUAUACACUCUGAGAAAGUCUUGGCCACCCCAGAUCCCCGAGAUCAGCAGCUGGAGAUCUCGGGAUAUAGUUCAGUAUUCCAGCAUCA